AUCUCGCUCUUAUUCCUGCCAAGUAAAUUUCAAUUUGCAAAUCAACUGUAUUUCUGUUGAUUUUUUUUUUUAUUUAAUAAAACAUAAAAUGAAUUAUGCACUUCAGUUUUUAUUGCCAAGUGGUAAUUAGAGAAAACAGUGCAUAGCGUAGCAUGGUAUAGUUGCGUACGCAGCUACACAUUAUCUUUUGAGUAAGGAGUUUCAUGGAACUGUUAUUGCUCUCGUAAUUAGAUAUGGGAUUUUUUCCCCCUUGUUUCCAAGCAUUUCCUGAAAAUUGAGGAUUCAGAAUAAGUGGCCUCCAGUAGUAGGUUGGGUAAUACUAGUGAAGCAGAAUAUCCUAAAAUUCUUAGUGGUGAGCAGCACAAUAAAAAAACUACUUUUUCCUUUUGCUUAAGAUAACAUAGAUUUGGUCAUUAAAGUUUCUAUAUGUAUAUUUUAAUGAGGUUGGAAAUUCCAUUGUUGAAAUUCUGAUUUUGAGAUUUAUUAAUUAGUUGAAUCCUUGUAGAUCCAUAAAUUCAAUUCCAUUGCAGAGAUCUGUACCUUAACAUGAUUAGACUGCAGUCCUUUUGUUGGUAAUUUUUGGUUCAUGAUGAAGAAUCACAAAAAAUGGUUGCAUAUCUCCAACAAAGAGAAAAGGUUAUAGGAAAUCCAUGAGGCGAAUCAAGUUAUGAAACUUUAAGUGUCCUAAAAAUGAAAAUACAAGAAUUUAGAAGAGUAUGCUAAACAAUUGGAUCAAGACCCAGAAGUAGAGUUGGCAGAAUCACAUACUGAACUACUGACAUGCAAGUUGCAACCCAACACCUUCAAUGGUGUUAUUCUCUCAUCUUCUGAGUACCCUUAUUUGGAAAUGAAGUAACAUUUCUAAUGUUUUAAUUCCACUAUUCUUCCCUGAUCUUUCAUUCCAACAGUCCACUAGUUUAACAGCCAAACAUGACAUGAUCGAAUUCACCUCAGUUCAUUGGCAAAGUAAUAUGACCAAAGUGAUUGGAAGCUUUCACAUACCAUGGGGGAGCCUUAUUCUUUAAAAUAUUAACUUCAUCUUUUUACACAUUUUUGCUAUGUUACUCGUAGACUUAGGAUGUAUUUGGUAUAAGGUUAAAAAAAUUAAUAGUUAAAUGGUACCUUUGUAAGUUUUAACCUUUAAAGAGGGU
RNAcentral lists this unclassified non-coding RNA (1151 nucleotides) under Hevea brasiliensis (rubber tree). Lineage: Eukaryota; Viridiplantae; Streptophyta; Magnoliopsida; Malpighiales; Euphorbiaceae. The record is from RNAcentral.